RNAcentral lists this ribosomal RNA (274 nucleotides) under uncultured bacterium. Its description in RNAcentral is "partial 16S ribosomal RNA". It matches the Rfam family "Bacterial small subunit ribosomal RNA", at positions 523 to 796 of the family's 1533-position model. The record is from RNAcentral.
AUACGUAGGGGGCGAGCGUUAAUGGGAAUUACUGGGCGUAAAGCGUGCGCAGGCGGUUAUGUAAGACAGAUGUGAAAUCCCCGGGCUCAACCUGGGAACUGCAUUUGUGACUGCAUAGCUAGAGUACGGCAGAGGGGGAUGGAAUUCCGCGUGUAGCAGGGAAAUGCGUAGAUAUGCGGAGGAACACCGAUGGCGAAGGCAAUCCCCUGGGCCUGUACUGACGCUCAUGCACGAAAGCGUGGGGAGCAAACAGGAUUAGAAACCCUAGUAGUCC